RNAcentral lists this transfer RNA (72 nucleotides) under Heterocephalus glaber (naked mole-rat). It matches the Rfam family "tRNA". Rfam says of the family: Transfer RNA (tRNA) molecules are approximately 80 nucleotides in length. Their secondary structure includes four short double-helical elements and three loops (D, anti-codon, and T loops). Further hydrogen bonds mediate the characteristic L-shaped molecular structure. tRNAs have two regions of fundamental functional importance: the anti-codon, which is responsible for specific mRNA codon recognition, and the 3' end, to which the tRNAs corresponding amino acid is attached (by aminoacyl-tRNA synthetases). tRNAs cope with the degeneracy of the genetic code in two manners: having more than one tRNA (with a specific anti-codon) for a particular amino acid; and 'wobble' base-pairing, i.e. permitting non-standard base-pairing at the 3rd anti-codon position. Lineage: Eukaryota; Metazoa; Chordata; Mammalia; Rodentia; Bathyergidae. The record is from Rfam by way of RNAcentral.
GGGAGUGGAGCUCAGCAGUAGAGCACUUACUUAGCAUGUGUAAGGCCCUGGGUUCAAUCCCUAGCACUGCCA